This is a non-coding RNA of Malus domestica (apple), 432 nucleotides long. Lineage: Eukaryota; Viridiplantae; Streptophyta; Magnoliopsida; Rosales; Rosaceae. The record is from RefSeq and is a predicted model, not a curated record.
UGUGAAAGUCCAAGGCUUAUAUGUGUAUUAUAUACAGCACCAACAUGUGGCCCAUGUAGGACUUUGAAGCCAAUUCUUGGUACGGUGAUAGAUGAAUUCGACCAUAAUGUACAUUUUGUUGAAAUUGAGAUUGAGGAAGAUCCGGAAGUAGCAGAAGCAGCUGGAAUUAUGGGUACACCAUGUGUUCAGUUCUUCAAAAAUAAGAAAAUGAUCAGAUGAGAAGGUUAAAGAUUCUAGUUUGCCUGAUGUCCUCAUUUUGUGGUUCAAUUUUGUUCUUCCCAAACAGGCUAGUUGAGUAAGGCCUUCAUUUUACACAAUAUUGUAGCUUGUAUUGAUCAACUAUAUUGUAGAUUACCAUACAUGCAGAGUUGUCAAUGCAUCGUUACGGAAUUUUAUUUUCCGAUCUUGUAUUUCCAUCCAUUGUAAUCUUAA